AACGCACAUUGCGCCCCUUGGUAUUCCGGGGGGCAUGCCUGUUCGAGCGUCAUUUGUACCCUCAAGCAUUGCUUGGUGUUGGGCGUCUUGUCUUUGCUCCGCCAAAGACUCGCCUUAAAACGAUUGGCAGCCGGCCUACUGGUUUCGCAGCGCAGCACAUUUUUGCGCUUGCAAUCAGCAAAAGAGGACGGCACUCCAUCAAGACUCCUUCUCACGGUUGACCUCGGAUCAGGUAGGGAUACCCGCUGAACUUAA
Molecule: unclassified non-coding RNA, 255 nt
Filed under: uncultured Pleosporales
Lineage: Eukaryota; Fungi; Ascomycota; Dothideomycetes; Pleosporales
Description: sequence contains 5.8S rRNA gene, ITS2, 28S rRNA gene
Source: RNAcentral